UUGUGACUGACGGUUGUUCUCACACGGCA
RNAcentral lists this non-coding RNA (29 nucleotides) under Mus musculus (house mouse). Lineage: Eukaryota; Metazoa; Chordata; Mammalia; Rodentia; Muridae. The record is from RNAcentral.